GAGUUUGAUCGUGGCUCAGAUUGAACGCUGGCGGCAUGCCUAACACAUGCAAGUCGAACGGCAGCACUGGGAGCUUGCUCCCUGGUGGCGAGUGGCGGACGGGUGAGUAACGCGUAGGAAUCUGCCUCAUAGCGGGGGACAACUCGGGGAAACUCGAGCUAAUACCGCAUACUACUCGAGAGAGGAAAGCAGGGGACCUUCGGGCCUUGCACUAUGAGAUGAGCCUGCGUUGGAUUAGCUAGUUGGUAGGGUAAAGGCCUACCAAGGCGACGAUCCAUAACUGGUUUGAGAGGAUGACCAGUCACACUGGGACUGAGACACGGCCCAGACUCCUACGGGAGGCAGCAGUGGGGAAUAUUGGACAAUGGGGGAAACCCUGAUCCAGCAAUGCCGCGUGUGUGAAG
Molecule: ribosomal RNA, 404 nt
Filed under: uncultured microorganism
Description: bacterial SSU rRNA
Rfam family: Bacterial small subunit ribosomal RNA
Source: RNAcentral